CCAACGGCCCUCUUUAGGGCCACAAAUGUUAUCAAAUCCUCUAUC
This is a non-coding RNA of Caenorhabditis tropicalis, 45 nucleotides long. NCBI's taxonomy places the organism in Eukaryota, Metazoa, Nematoda, Chromadorea, Rhabditida, Rhabditidae. The record is from Rfam.